This 484-nucleotide ribosomal RNA is filed under the name uncultured bacterium. Its description in RNAcentral is "partial 16S ribosomal RNA". It matches the Rfam family "Bacterial small subunit ribosomal RNA", at positions 30 to 507 of the family's 1533-position model. The record is from RNAcentral.
AUUGGACGCUGGCGGCAGGCCUAACACAUGCAAGUCGAGCGGAUGAAGGGAGCUUGCUCCUGGAUUCAGCGGCGGACGGGUGAGUAAUUCCUAGGAAUCUGCCUGGUAGUGGGGGAUAACGUCCGGAAACGGGCGCUAAUACCGCAUACGUCCUGAGGGAGAAAGUGGGGGAUCUUCGGACCUCACGCUCUCAGAUGAGCCUAGGUCGGAUUAGCGAGUUGGUGGGGUAAAGGCCUACCAAGGCGACGAUCCGUAACUGGUCUGAGAGGAUGAUCAGUCACACUGGAACUGAGACACGGUCCAGACUCCUACGGGAGGCAGCAGUGGGGAAUAUUGGACAAUGGGCGAAAGCCUGAUCCAGCCAUGCCGCGUGUGUGAAGAAGGUCUUCGGAUUGUAAAGCACUUUAAGUUGGGAGGAAGGGCAGUAAGUUAAUACCUUGCUGUUUUGACGUUACCAACAGAAUAAGCACCGGCUAACUUCGUG